CAGCCGUAAACAAUGUGCGUUAGGUGUGUCGGUAACCACGUGUUACUGAUGCGCCGAAGAGAAAUCGUGAAACGCACCACCUGGGAAGUACGGUCGCAAGGCUGAAACUUAAAGGAAUUGGCGGGGGAGCACCACAACAGGUGGAGCCUGCGGUUUAAUUGGAUUCAACACCGUAAACUCACCAGGGAAGACUGUUACAUGAAAGCCGAGAUGAAGACUCUGCUAGAUUUUCAGAGAGGAGGUGCAUGGCGUCAGUGACU
RNAcentral lists this ribosomal RNA (260 nucleotides) under uncultured archaeon. Its description in RNAcentral is "partial 16S ribosomal RNA". It matches the Rfam family "Archaeal small subunit ribosomal RNA", at positions 748 to 1008 of the family's 1478-position model. The record is from RNAcentral.